This 103-nucleotide microRNA precursor is filed under the name Marmota monax (woodchuck). The record is from RNAcentral. Lineage: Eukaryota; Metazoa; Chordata; Mammalia; Rodentia; Sciuridae.
AGUGGGAUAGCUGGGUCAAAUGGAGGUUCCAUUCCAAGUUUUCUGAGGAAGCUCCAUCCUGCUUUCCAGAGUGGCUGCACCAAUUUGCAGUCCCACCAGCAAU